Molecule: ribosomal RNA, 452 nt
Filed under: uncultured bacterium
Lineage: Bacteria
Description: bacterial SSU rRNA
Rfam family: Bacterial small subunit ribosomal RNA
Source: RNAcentral
GAUGAACGCUAGCGGCAGGCUUAACACAUGCAAGUCGAGGGGUAUAGUAGCAAUACUAGAGACCGGCGCACGGGUGCGUAACGCGUAUGCAACCUACCUUUUACAGAGGGAUAGCCCAGAGAAAUUUGGAUUAAUACCUCAUAGUGUUAUUAGAUGGCAUCAUUUGAUAACUAAAGUUCCAACGGUAAAGAUGGGCAUGCGUCCUAUUAGCUAGAUGGUAAGGUAACGGCUUACCAUGGCUACGAUAGGUAGGGUCCUGAGAGGGAGAUCCCCCACACUGGUACUGAGACACGGACCAGACUCCUACGGGAGGCAGCAGUGAGGAAUAUUGGACAAUGGGCGCAAGCCUGAUCCAGCCAUGCCGCGUGCAGGAAGAAGCAAUCUAUGGUGUGUAAACUGCUUUUGUACGGGAAGAAACACUCCUACGUGUAGGAGCUUGACGGUACCGUAAG